Non-coding RNA from Phascolarctos cinereus (koala), 715 nucleotides. Lineage: Eukaryota; Metazoa; Chordata; Mammalia; Diprotodontia; Phascolarctidae. The record is from RefSeq and is a predicted model, not a curated record.
UGUACUAUGUUAUAUCUAAUGUUUCCUAACUUUAUCUUCUUUAGCGUCACUUCUAUUUCCUCAUAUAGCGCAGUAGAUACUAAGGUAUUAAAGUUCCAAUGUGGUGGAUCUUUGUAGGUUUUUUUCUCUGCAUCAUAAAAUGUUUUUGAGGCAAUGCUACACGUAAUCUUCCAUCCCUAAUGUUCUGCAUAUUUUUUUUGUAAUCUCUAAAGGUGUUGCCCUUGCCUACCGUAUCUCCCCAUCUGACAAGAAGCUCAAAUGUGUGGUGGCUGAGGUCAACACUUCUACAGCUCUGUCAUGGCCUGGCCUUUGCCUUGGGUUCUCAAAAGCUGUGCGAGCUCAAGGUAGACUCUGAUGAUAAUAGAGAGAAGCAGAUGGCCCUGGAGAUGACAGAUAGCUGAUGACAAGCAGAUGGUAGCAGAGAGCAACUCAGCGACCACGAUACCAGUGAAGACAACAAGAGGAGAAAAUGCAUUGAAGAGCAAACAGGCAGUGCUCAACAGAGAUGACACAACCAGCAAAGAAAAGCAAAGAGCUGCAGAAGGUCAACAUCAGAGAAAACUGAUAGCUUUGCAGUAUUAUGAUGGGAGUUGCCUCAGACACACCACAAGCCUGUUCUCUGGAUAUACAGUCCUGGCACAUGCCCCUUCUGUAUUCUCUGGUGCACAUGUUCCCUCUGGGUAUGACUUCCAAGUUUGUUUUAUGGUCACAUUUA